Molecule: ribosomal RNA, 274 nt
Filed under: uncultured bacterium
Lineage: Bacteria
Description: partial 16S ribosomal RNA
Rfam family: Bacterial small subunit ribosomal RNA
Source: RNAcentral
AUACGUAGGGUGCGAGCGUUGUUCGGAAUUAUUGGGCGUAAAGAGCGUGUAGGCGGUUAGUUAAGUCGGGUGUGAAAGCCCUCGGCUCAACCGAGGAAGUGCACUCGAAACUGACUAGCUAGAGAGUGGUAGAGGAAGGUGGAAUUCCAUGUGUAGAGGUGAAAUUCGUAGAUAUGUGGAGGAAUACCGGCGGCGAAGGCGGCCUUCUGGACCAUUUCUGACGCUGAGACGCGAAAGCGUGGGUAGCAAACAGGAUUAGAAACCCCGGUAGUCC